GCAGAAUGGCCAUGGACCACAGGCAGAUGGGCUUUUCUCCUCAUCUCAUCACUGCUGCCAGAGACAGACUGCUGAUUUGACUCCGACAGGACGCUCAUAUCAAACGAAGCUGCUGGAGAUGGUCUGAGCAAUCAUCUGGAUGAAAAGAGCGCAGAUGUGGACUGAUACAUUUAGUACUGGUUCUGCAGGAGCAGAAACUGGAGGCCUUGAUCCCCUCACACCAGAGGAAAUCACAGUUACAGGAAUCACACGUACCAGGAAACUCUCAGUAUAAAUCAUGGCAAUAUCGACUUAAAGGGGGUAGGAGCAUCGGCCGCAAGCAGGACAAGAAUGUCACUCAUGAAACGAAGGAAGGAAACAAGAAAAGGAUCCUCCCCUGUGACACUGACCUG
Molecule: long non-coding RNA, 392 nt
Organism: Meleagris gallopavo (turkey)
Lineage: Eukaryota; Metazoa; Chordata; Aves; Galliformes; Phasianidae
Source: RefSeq, a predicted model, not a curated record